RNAcentral lists this ribosomal RNA (460 nucleotides) under uncultured bacterium. RNAcentral's name for it is "partial 16S ribosomal RNA". It matches the Rfam family "Bacterial small subunit ribosomal RNA", at positions 338 to 795 of the family's 1533-position model. The record is from RNAcentral.
CCUACGGGAGGCAGCAGUGAGGAAUAUUGGUCAAUGGGCGCGAGCCUGAACCAGCCAAGUAGCGUGAAGGAUGACUGCCCUACGGGUUGUAAACUUCUUUUAUAAAGGAAUAAAGUGAGGCACGUGUGCCUUUUUGUAUGUACUUUAUCAUUAAGGAUCGGCUAAAUCAGUGCCAGCAGCCGCGGUAAUACGGAGGAUCCGAGCGUUAUCCGGAUUUAUUGGGUUUAAAGGGAGCGUAGAUGGGUUUUUAAGUCAGUUGUGAAAGUUUCCGGCUCAACCGUAAAAUUGCAAUUGAUACUGGCAGUCUAGAGGACAGUUGAGGUAGGGGGAAUUCGUGGUGUAGCGGUGAAAUGCUUAGAUAUCACGAGGAACACCGAUUGCGAAGGCAGCUUACUAAACUGCAACUGACAUUGAUGCUAGAAAGUGUGGGUAUCAAACAGGAUUAGAUACCCGGGUAGUA